RNAcentral lists this ribosomal RNA (245 nucleotides) under uncultured bacterium. RNAcentral describes it as "partial 16S ribosomal RNA". It matches the Rfam family "Bacterial small subunit ribosomal RNA", at positions 527 to 772 of the family's 1533-position model. The record is from RNAcentral.
GGAGGAUGCGAGCGUUAUCCGGAUUUAUUGGGUUUAAAGGGUGCGUAGGCGGCGAGUUAAGUCAGCGGUAAAAGCCCGGGGCUCAACCCCGGCCCGCCGUUGAAACUGGCUUGCUUGAGUUGGAGAGAAGUAGGCGGAAUGCGCGGUGUAGCGGUGAAAUGCUUAGAUAUCGCGCAGAACUCCGAUUGCGAAGGCAGCCUACCGGCUCCAGACUGACGCUGAGGCACGAAAGCGUGGGUAUCGAA